UCUGAAUCUGCGAACGGCUCCGCAUACCAGUUGUAAACCAUAGCGAGCAAACCGUGGCGGUGUCGCAAGGCGUCGUCGCGGUUAAUAAGGAUAACCCUGGUAAUUCUGAGGCUAAUACAAGAACGUACAACCCACCCGACCCGUAAGGGAAGGGGGGGGAAUGUGUGACCAGGCACGCAAAUUCGAAACUGGGAGUGGCCACACGUUCAGACCGUCAUAUCAAACAGUCGUCUGCUUCGAAAGUCCUUGUGACGAGUAACGGCGGGCUUCUGGGCGGCUCUCGCUGUGUGCUUCUGACCUAUCAACUAGAUGGCAGCGUAACGGACAUGCUAUGGU
Molecule: ribosomal RNA, 336 nt
Filed under: Badhamia albescens
Lineage: Eukaryota; Evosea; Eumycetozoa; Physariida; Physaraceae
Description: bacterial SSU rRNA
Rfam family: Eukaryotic small subunit ribosomal RNA
Source: RNAcentral